Molecule: long non-coding RNA, 497 nt
Organism: Cannabis sativa
Lineage: Eukaryota; Viridiplantae; Streptophyta; Magnoliopsida; Rosales; Cannabaceae
Exons: 3
Source: RefSeq, a predicted model, not a curated record
UGGCGCGGUAUAGUCACAACCGGGUAUUUCGGGCCGAACUGGGUUCGGGCCCGAAAUGCAAUUUGAAUUGAAAUAUUUGGCAUUUUUAUUUAAUAGUGAUAAUCUGAAAUUAAUUGGGUUUGAAAUGUACAUGAAAUGACAAUUAUGCCCUUGUGAGUGAUUAUGCAUGAUUGUAUGGCCCUAGGGGCAAAAUGGUCUUUUGACCUUUAUUGAUUUACUUUAAUAAAAUUGAUUUUUGAGGGAAUGAAAUUAGAAAAUGCUGGCUUUUGCUUCCUCUUGGCUGACCCUCUCUCUCUCUAACCCUUUCUUAUUUUCAACUUUAAAUUGGUGAGAGAUUAGCUUGAAUUAAAGAUUGUUUGUUGGGAAAAUUGUGUUGAAGGCUUGGAGUUAGCUUGUGCAAGGAAUUGAGGAUUACCGGCACCUGAUCAGGAGCACCCAGGGGUUUGGAAUCUCCUUUAUUGCGGGACAACAGGAAAGGGUAAGUCAGUGGCUGAUCA